CCUACGGGUGGCAGCAGUGGGGGAUAUUGCUCAAUGGGGGGAACCCUGAAGCAGCGACGCCGCGUGGAGGAAGAAGGUUUUCGGAUUGUAAACUCCUUUUAGUAGGGAAGAAAAUGACGGUACCUGACGAAGAAGCCCCGGCUAACUACGUGCCAGCAGCCGCGGUAAUACGUAGGGUGCAAGCGUUACUCGGAAUCACUGGGCGUAAAGGGCGCGUAGGCGGGAGAGCAAGUCAGGUGUGAAAUCCUGUGGCUUAACCCUGGGACUGCAUUUGAAACUGUGUGUCUAGAGUAGGGGAGGGGUAGGUGGAAUUCCUGGUGUAGCGGUGAAAUGCGGAGAGAUCAAGAGGAACACUGAUUGCGAAGGCGACCUGCUAGA
RNAcentral lists this ribosomal RNA (378 nucleotides) under uncultured bacterium. RNAcentral describes it as "partial 16S ribosomal RNA". It matches the Rfam family "Bacterial small subunit ribosomal RNA", at positions 338 to 733 of the family's 1533-position model. The record is from RNAcentral.